This 551-nucleotide ribosomal RNA is filed under the name uncultured Verrucomicrobiota bacterium. Its description in RNAcentral is "bacterial SSU rRNA". It matches the Rfam family "Bacterial small subunit ribosomal RNA", at positions 97 to 628 of the family's 1533-position model. Lineage: Bacteria; Pseudomonadati; Verrucomicrobiota. The record is from RNAcentral.
GGCGCAAGGGUGCGUAACACGUGGGUAAUCUGCCAUGAGGUUCGGGAUAAUCCCGCGAAAGCGGGACUAAUACCGGAUGUGACAGCUGGAGGGCAUCUUCUGGCUGUUAAAGUUGGGGACCGCAAGGCCUGACGCUUCAUGAUGAGCCCGCGGCCUAUCAGCUAGUUGGUGAGGUAACGGCUCACCAAGGCUAAGACGGGUAGCUGGUCUGAGAGGACGACCAGCCACACUGGAACUGAGACACGGUCCAGACACCUACGGGUGGCAGCAGUCGAGAAUUUUUCACAAUGGGCGCAAGCCUGAUGGAGCGACGCCGCGUGGGGGAUGAAUGGCUUCGGCCCGUAAACCCCUGUCAUUUGCGAUCAACCCUCAUUAUUUAAAAGAUGAUGAGCUGAUGGUAGCGAAAGAGGAAGGGACGGCUAACUCUGUGCCAGCAGCCGCGGUAAUACAGAGGUCCCGAGCGUUGUUCGGAUUCACUGGGCGUAAAGGGUGCGUAGGUGGUGGGGUAAGUCGGAUGUGAAAUCUCGGAGCUCAACUCCGAAAUGGCAUUG